RNAcentral lists this long non-coding RNA (3158 nucleotides) under Octopus vulgaris (common octopus). The record is from RNAcentral. Lineage: Eukaryota; Metazoa; Mollusca; Cephalopoda; Octopoda; Octopodidae.
AGAUCUGUGUGUAUUUGUAUUUAUGAGACAGCUUACUUAUAUAUAUUUAUAUGUAUGUAAAUAUACGUUUCUGGUCAUCUGUACAUGUACAUGUGAAUAUGCGUGUUUGUAUGUAUAUGUAUAUAUUUGGAUUUAUGUGUGUAUGUGCAUAUAUAUGUAUAUUUGUAUGUUUGUAUCUAUGUAGAAGUAGUACCUCGGUUUUCGAACAACUCUGAUCAUGAAAAAAUCGUGCUUCAUAUAUAUAUAUUAUAAUAAUAAUAAUAUGAGGGAAUAUUAUUCCAAACUUACAGGGGAAAAUUCGGUUUUGAACUACUAAAUCAAAUUUCAAAAAAUAUAAUAUAUAUAUAUAUCUGUAAAAAUAAUAUGUGACAAUUAUUUGGUAGUCAUGAUAAAACUCCGAGUUUCAGAUGCCGAGGUGGAAAUCCACGCCACCAUCUCUGCAGUUAUCUGGCCAUCGGGAAAAUGCCCUUGGAUUUCCACCUUGGCAUCCGAAACUCGGAGUUUUAUCAUGGCUACCGAAUAAUUGUCACAUAUUAUUUUACAGAUAAAUUUUCCUCUAUUUACAUAAUAUCGAGGUCUCUUUCUUUCUUUUGUUGUCUUACCAUUUUCAUCAAAAUAUAUAUACAUAUAUAUAUAUCAUCAUCAUCAUCGUUUAACGUCCGCUUUCCAUGCUAGCAUGGGUUAUAUAUAUAUAUGAAUAUAUAUAAAGCCUGAUUUCUUCGUGAUUAGAGGCGUUUGUAAACCGAGGUACUAUCGUAUUAAAUGAAUAUGAGAAAGACAGGGGAUAAACCACAACCUAUUUGUGAUCGAAAACUGAUGUACCACUGUAUAGUAGUAUGUACAUGUAUGUAUAUAUGUAGGUAUGUAUAUACACACACAUAUAUAUAUAUAUUUCAACAACAAUUGAGGAACGACCACAAUAGGCCGUUUGACCCACUAGAAAGAGCAGCCAGAGCUCCAACCGCAAAUAGUAGUAAUUCCGAAAUUUAAGGAAAAAUAAAAAAAAACAUUUACCCUUAUUCAUCUUUAGACAAUGCAUUGUUUCAGCGUUUUUUAAUGGCAAACCGGCCUGAUUAAAUUAAAUUAAACCCAAUCAAGUCAAUCUUCCAAAAGGCCACGCGCUCAUCGGUAAAGAAGCCAGGAGGGGCAGAAAUUACACGAGGCAGCAAUAUCUAUGCCUAGGUAAUAUCUGACCUAAAAUUUUCAUAGUUAUCGUACUCGCGCCAACUUAUCGGCAGCAAAUUAUAUAUAUAUAUAUAUAUAUAUAUGUGUCUAUAUAUAUGUGUGUGUGUGUAUAUAUAUAUAUGUAUAUUUAUUUGUAGUAUGAAUGUAUAUAUAUUUAUAUGGAUGUGUGUGUUUGAGCAUGUACAUAUAAUACAUACAAACACAUAUAUAUAUAUAAAUAUAUAUAUAUGAAUAUAUAUAUAUAUAUAUAUAUAUACAUAAACAUUUACAAUCAACAGAAGCAUAUAUAUAUGUAUUCAAAACACGACUAUUUUCAAGUUUGAUCUAUUUUAUUAAGGAUAAUUUUUAUCUCAUAUUUCCAUAUUUAAUCUUUAAUUUAAAUUUGUACCAAUAAUUUCCCUAAAUUGUUUCAAGCUAUGACAUAUAAGACUAUUUCCAUGACCCCUUUAUGUCUUACUGCAGAAUACACGAAGGGAUACGUCAGUAACAGCCCUUCGUUUUGAAAACGGGGUUCUCCUUUCUCCAGCUUUUACUUGUUUCAGUCAUUGGGUUGCGACCACGCUGGAGCAUCAUCUUGAAGGGUUUUAGUCAAACAAAUCAACCCCAGUACUCAUUGGUUUAUAAGCUUUGGUACUUACUCUGUUGGUCUCUCUUGCUGAUCUGCUAAGUUACAGGGGGACAUAAACAAGCUGAAACGGAUUGUCAAGCUGUGGUGGGGACAAUGACACAUACAUACAAACACACACGCUAACCAACCACUAGGGUUAUCCCAGAAACAGCUGUUAAGACUUCAAACUCACCUUACCCUAAUUAAAUUAAUGUAAAUGAUUUGAGAUACUCGUUCUGCCUUGGUUUUGAUUUUUCCUGUAAUAUAAUAUAUAUAUAUAUAUAUAUAUAGGCGCAGGAGUGGCUGUGUGGUAAGUAACUUGUUUACCAACCACAUGGUUCCGGGUUCAGUCCCACUGCGUGGCACCUUGGGCAAGUGUCUUCUACUAUAGCCUCAGGCCGACCAAAGCCUUGUGAGUGGAUUUGGUAGACGGAAACUGAAAGAAGCCUGUUGUAUAUAUGUAUAUAUAUAUAUAUAUAUGUAUGUAUGUGUGUGUAUGUGUUUGUGUGUCUGUGUUUGUUCCCCUAGCAUUGCUUGACAACCGAUGCUGGUGUGUUUAUGUCCCCGUUACUUAGCAGUUUGGCAAAAGAGACCGAUAGAAUAAGUACUGGGCUUACAAAAGAAUAAAUCCUGGGGGUCGCUUUGCUCGAUUAAAGGUGGUGCUCCAGCAUGGCUGUCAAAUGACUGAAACAAGUAAAAGAGUAAAGAGAUAUACAUAUAGGCGCAGGGGUGGCUGUGUGGUAGUAACUUGUUUACCAACCACAUCAGUCCCACUGCGUGGUACCUUGGGCAAAUGUCUUCUACUAUAGCCUCAGGCCGACCAAAGCCUUGUGAGUGGAUUUGGUAGACGGAAACUGAAAGAAGCCUGUUGUAUAUAUGUAUAUAUAUAUAUAUAUAUAUAUGUAUGUGUGUGUAUGUGUUUGUGUGUCUGUGUUUGUCACCCUAGCAUUGCUUGACAACCGAUGCUGGUGUGUUUAUGUCCCCGUUACUUAGCGGUUCGGCAAAAGAGACCGAUAGAAUAAGUACUGGGCUUAUAAAAAAGAAUAAGUCCCGGGAUCGAGUUGCUCGAUUAAAGGCGGUGCUCCAGCAUGGCCACAGUCAAAUGACUGAAACAAGUAAAAGAGUAAAGAGAUAUAUAUAUAUAGUGAUGUGUGUGUGUGUGUGUGUGUGUGGGCACUGCCAGCAUGGGAAGUUCUCAGCUCUGUUGAGGGUACGAGACUGAGUAAUACCGUUUGGUUGAUAACUGAUGAAGAAUUAGGGACCUUCUGUCUGUGUGUCCGUCUCCUGUCUGGUUGUACAGUCAGUAUAUAUUGUAUGUUGUUUACCCUGUUGCUGUUUAUUUACAAUACAUUUUGUCAUAUAUCAU